GUCGAGCGAACAGAAGGGAGCUUGCUCCCGGAUGUUAGCGGCGGACGGGUGAGUAACACGUGGGUAACCUGCCUGUAAGACUGGGAUAACUCCGGGAAACCGGAGCUAAUACCGGAUAGUUCCUUGAACCGCAUGGUUCAAGGAUGAAAGACGGUUUCGGCUGUCACUUACAGAUGGACCCGCGGCGCAUUAGCUAGUUGGUGGGGUAAUGGCUCACCAAGGCGACGAUGCGUAGCCGACCUGAGAGGGUGAUCGGCCACACUGGGACUGAGACACGGCCCAGACUCCUACGGGAGGCAGCAGUAGGGAAUCUUCCGCAAUGGACGAAAGUCUGACGGAGCAACGCCGCGUGAGUGAUGAAGGUUUUCGGAUCGUAAAGCUCUGUUGUUAGGGAAGAACAAGUGCGAGAGUAACUGCUCGCACCUUGACGGUACCUAACCAGAAAGCCACGGCUAACUACGUGCCAGCAGCCGCGGUAAUACGUAGGUGGCAAGCGUUGUCCGGAAUUAUUGGGCGUAAAGGGCUCGCAGGCGGUUUCUUAAGUCUGAUGUGAAAGCCCCCGGCUCAACCGGGGAGGGUCAUUGGAAACUGGGAAACUUGAGUGCAGAAGAGGAGAGUGGAAUUCCACGUGUAGCGGUGAAAUGCGUAGAGAUGUGGAGGAACACCAGUGGCGAAGGCGACUCUCUGGUCUGUAACUGACGCUGAGGAGCGAAAGCGUGGGGAGCGAACAGGAUUAGAUACCCUGGUAGUCCACGCCGUAAACGAUGAGUGCUAAGUGUUAGGGGGUUUCCGCCCCUUAGUGCUGCAGCUAACGCAUUAAGCACUCCGCCUGGGGAGUACGGUCGCAAGACUGAAACUCAAAGGAAUUGACGGGGGCCCGCACAAGCGGU
This 890-nucleotide ribosomal RNA is filed under the name Bacillus sp. (in: firmicutes). RNAcentral's name for it is "bacterial SSU rRNA". It matches the Rfam family "Bacterial small subunit ribosomal RNA", at positions 61 to 933 of the family's 1533-position model. Lineage: Bacteria; Bacillati; Bacillota; Bacilli; Caryophanales; Bacillaceae. The record is from RNAcentral.